RNAcentral lists this ribosomal RNA (301 nucleotides) under uncultured bacterium. Its description in RNAcentral is "partial 16S ribosomal RNA". It matches the Rfam family "Bacterial small subunit ribosomal RNA", at positions 509 to 807 of the family's 1533-position model. The record is from RNAcentral.
CAGUCGCCGCGGUAAAACGGAGGGUGCAAGCGUUAAUCGGAAUUACUGGGCGUAAAGCGCACGUAGGCGGCUUGGUAAGUUAGAGGUGAAAGCCUGGAGCUCAACUCCAGAAUUGCCUUUAAGACUGCCGAGCUAGCAGGUGAGAGAGGUAAGUGGAAUUCCGAGUGUAGAGGCGAAAUUCGUAGAUAUUCGGAAGAACACCAGUGGCGAAGGCGGCUUACUGGCUCAUACUGGACGCUGAGGUGCGAAAGCGUGGGGAGCAAACAGGAUUAGAUACCCGCGUAGUCCCUGUCUCUUAUAC